RNAcentral lists this ribosomal RNA (497 nucleotides) under uncultured bacterium. RNAcentral describes it as "partial 16S ribosomal RNA". It matches the Rfam family "Bacterial small subunit ribosomal RNA", at positions 28 to 507 of the family's 1533-position model. The record is from RNAcentral.
GAUGAACGCUGGCGGCGUGCCUAAUACAUGCAAGUCGAGCGAACAGACGAGGCUUUUGCUCGUCUGACGUUAGGGGCGGGCGGGUGAGUAACACGUGUAUACCCUCCCUAUAAGGCUGAGAUCACUACGGGAAACCGGCGCUAACACCGGAUAAUCUCUUGAACCGCGUGGUUCAUUAGUCAAAUACGGUUUUGCUGUCACUUCUCGAUGGAUACCCGCUGGAUUGGCUAGUUGGUAAGGUAACGGCUUACCAAGGCAACGAUGCGUAGGCGACCUGAGAGGGUGAUCGGCCACACGGGAGCUUGGACACGGUCCAGGGUCCUACGGGAGGGCGCAGUAGGGAAUCUGACGCAAUGGUCGAAAGCCUGACGGAGCAACGCCGCGUGUGUGAUGAAGGUCUUCGGAGCGUAAAGCCCUGUUAUUAGGGAUGAACAGAUGUAUAAUGAAACGUGGACGUCUUGACGGUAACUAAUCAAAAAGCAACGGCUAACUACGUG